Molecule: ribosomal RNA, 1480 nt
Filed under: uncultured prokaryote
Description: partial 16S ribosomal RNA
Rfam family: Bacterial small subunit ribosomal RNA
Source: RNAcentral
GAGUUUGAUCCUGGCUCAGGAUGAACGCUAGCGGCAGGCUUAACACAUGCAAGUCGAGGGGGAACAUUGGAGCUUGCUUCAGAUGACGACCGGCGCACGUGAGUAACGCGUAUGCAACCUACCUCAAACACGGGGAUAGCUCAGGGAAACCUGGAUUAAUACCCCAUAAUAUUUAGAUUUGGCAUCAGAUUUAAAUUAAAACUCCGGUGGUUUGAGAUGGGCAUGCGUGACAUUAGCUAGUUGGUAAGGUAAUGGCUUACCAAGGCUACGAUGUCUAGGGGUUCUGAGAGGAUGAUCCCCCACACUGGUACUGAGACACGGACCAGACUCCUACGGGAGGCAGCAGUGAGGAAUAUUGGUCAAUGGGCGCAAGCCUGAACCAGCCAUCCCGCGUGUAGGAAGACUGCCCUAUGGGUUGUAAACUACUUUUAUAAAGGAAGAAACUCCCGCACGUGUGCGGGACUGACUGUACUUUACGAAUAAGCACCGGCUAACUCCGUGCCAGCAGCCGCGGUAAUACGGAGGGUGCAAGCGUUAUCCGGAUUUAUGGGGUUUAACGGGUGCGUAGCCGGGCCUUUAAGUCAGUGGUGAAAUCCUGCAGCUUAACUGUAGAAUUGCCAUUGAUACUGCUGACCUUGAGUUCGGUUGAAGUGGGCGGAAUAUGUAGUGUAGCGGUGAAAUGCAUAGAUAUUACAUAGAACACCUAUUGCGAAGGCAGCUCACUAAGCCGAUACUGACGCUCAGGGACGAAAGCGUGGGGAGCGAACAGGAUUAGAUACCCUGGUAGUCCACGCCGUAAACGAUGAUAACUCGCUGUUGGCAAUAUACCGUCAGCGGCCAAGCGAAAGCGUUAAGUUAUCCACCUGGGGAGUACGAUCGCAAGGUUGAAACUCAAAGGAAUUGACGGGGGCCCGCACAAGCGGUGGAGCAUGUGGUUUAAUUCGAUGAUACGCGAGGAACCUUACCUGGGCUUAAAUGCAGAGUGACAAUCCCCGAAAGGGGGCUUUCUUCGGACACUUUACAAGGUGCUGCAUGGUUGUCGUCAGCUCGUGCCGUGAGGUGUCGGGUUAAGUCCCAUAACGAGCGCAACCCCUACUCUUAGUUGCCAGCAUGUAAUGAUGGGGACUCUAAGAGAACUGCCUACGCAAGUAGAGAGGAAGGUGGGGAUGACGUCAAAUCAGCACGGCCCUUACGUCCAGGGCUACACACGUGCUACAAUGGCCGGUACAGAGGGCAGCCACCACGUGAGUGGGAGCGAAUCUCCAAAGCCGGUCUCAGUUCGGAUCGAAGUCUGCAACUCGACUUCGUGAAGCUGGAAUCGCUAGUAAUCGCGCAUCAGCCAUGGCGCGGUGAAUACGUUCCCGGGCCUUGUACACACCGCCCGUCAAGCCAUGGAAGUUGGGGGUACCUGAAGUCGGUAACCGUAAGGAGCCGCCUAGGGUAAAACUAGUAACUGGGGCUAAGUCGGAACAAGGUAACC